Long non-coding RNA from Carlito syrichta (Philippine tarsier), 257 nucleotides. RefSeq lists it as uncharacterized. The record is from RefSeq and is a predicted model, not a curated record. The transcript is spliced from 3 exons. Lineage: Eukaryota; Metazoa; Chordata; Mammalia; Primates; Tarsiidae.
AGCACGUUCACGUCCAUGUACUUCCCAGGAAGGCUGGAGACUUUCACAGGAAUGACAGCAUCUAUGAUGAGCUCCAGAAACAUGACAAAGAGGAGGAGGACUCCCCGGCCUUUUGGAGAUCAGAGGAGGAAAUGGCAGCAGAGGCUGCAGCUCUACGGGUCUACUUUCAGUGAUUCAGAUUCUGAAUUCCAACAGAAUGACUGAUGCCAACCAGUCUGAAGACACCCAUGGAGGAACUGAAUCAGCAUGAGAACACA